GACGCUUAACCGACUGAGCCACCCAGGAUCCCUUCAUGUCCAACUUUAAAAGAGAAGGACAGAGAAUAUAGCCAAUUCUUUUAGAGUCAAGUGAGAGUUUUUCUUUCUUUUUUUUUUUUUUAGGACAGCAGGUAAUGCUGAUGAGAAUGAUCCAAUGUGGAGAUAAAGUCAAUAUACAGAAAAGAGAAAGGACACCGGCAGGAAUGAUAUCCUUGAGGAAGCCUGAGGGGAUAGAAGGUUGUCCUUAAUUAGAAGCAGAACCAUUAGCCAGGCUAUAAGGAUAGAAAUGCAGAAUAAAUAAGAAAUUUCCAGAUUCAGACAGCCACCAGUUACCUUCCAACGUGACAACUGUGAGAGGAUUAAAUGAGCAUACAAAUGAGGCCUUUGGAACAGGGCCUGACAGAUACUAAGUACCUAUUGAAAGCCAGGAGGGAGUAAAACUAAAGGUGGUGGUCACAAGCACACAAUAAGCUCCUGCACCCUAAUCUCCAUCUCAGAACCUGCAACCCAGAAACCCAACCUGCAGGCAUACCUCAGGCACAUACCCCAUUGCUGCCAUUAUUGGUUCAUUGCCUGUCACUCAGUGGACUGGGUUUGUUUCUGAUGUAUUUUUAUAUUCUCAGGAUCUAGGCAGCAUCUGGCACAUAUGAACACCUAGAAAUGCUUGUGGAAUAAAUUCAUUAAA
This is a long non-coding RNA of Felis catus (domestic cat), 685 nucleotides long. RefSeq lists it as uncharacterized. Lineage: Eukaryota; Metazoa; Chordata; Mammalia; Carnivora; Felidae. The record is from RefSeq and is a predicted model, not a curated record. The transcript is spliced from 3 exons.